This 429-nucleotide ribosomal RNA is filed under the name uncultured bacterium. RNAcentral describes it as "bacterial SSU rRNA". It matches the Rfam family "Bacterial small subunit ribosomal RNA", at positions 355 to 796 of the family's 1533-position model. The record is from RNAcentral.
UGGGGGAUCUUGCACAAUGGGCGAAAGCCUGAUGCAGCGACGCCGCGUGGGGGAUGAAGGCCCUCGGGUUGUAAACCCCUUUCGGCAGGGAAGAAGCGAAAGUGACGGUACCUGCAGAAGAAGCCCCGGCCAACUACGUGCCAGCAGCCGCGGUAAGACGUAGGGGGCGAGCGUUGUCCGGAUUUAUUGGGCGUAAAGCGCGCGCAGGCGGCUCGGAAAGUCGGGUGUGAAAACCCGGGGCUCAACCCCGGACCUGCAUCCGAUACUCCCGGGCUAGAGGCAGGUAGGGGAGAGUGGAAUUCCUGGUGUAGCGGUGAAAUGCGCAGAUAUCAGGAGGAACACCGGUGGCGAAGGCGGCUCUCUGGACCUGUCCUGACGCUCAGGCGCGAAAGCUAGGGGAGCGAACAGGAUUAGAUACCCCCGUAGUCC